Molecule: ribosomal RNA, 548 nt
Filed under: Astropecten africanus
Lineage: Eukaryota; Metazoa; Echinodermata; Asteroidea; Paxillosida; Astropectinidae
Description: partial 12S ribosomal RNA
Source: RNAcentral
CCUCUAACGAUACAUGCAAGCCAUUAGCAACACAGUGAGUAAUCAAUUACUAUAACUACCCUAAAAAGACACAGUUAUAAAUAAAGGUAUCAGAAAAUUCUUCCCAAAUUCAAAGACACCUAGCCACCCACAUCUGCAGUACCUAGCAUUAUACAAUAAGCAAAAGCUUGAUAUAGUUAUAGACUUAAGAGUUGGUAAAUUAUGUGCCAGCCACCGCGGUUAUACAUAAAACUCAAGCCAAGAAAAUUAUCGGUACAAAAGUGACUAAAGUAAGCCUAACUUUAAGGUAAAAAAUAACUCUAGUAUUAACAAGCUUUCACAGUAAACUAAUCACAAUUGUAAUAUAACCUUAACCACCACCUUAACUUGAAACACCAAAGCUCAAAAAUAAACUGGGAUUAGAUACCCCACUAUAUGAGCCUUAAAAAACCAAAAACACCAGAGAACUACGAAUUAAAGUUUAAAACUCAAAGGACUUGGCGGUUUUUUAGAUCUUCCUGGAGGAGCUUGCUAUCUAACCGAUAACCCACGAAAAACCUUUACCAGCA